Molecule: unclassified non-coding RNA, 190 nt
Filed under: Lacticaseibacillus paracasei
Lineage: Bacteria; Bacillati; Bacillota; Bacilli; Lactobacillales; Lactobacillaceae
Description: Lactobacillus paracasei T-box
Source: RNAcentral
AUAAAGUCACCAGAUGAGCCGCAGUAGUGGUCCUAGGCAGGUCUAAGAAAAACGGUGGUUGCUGCAAACCGUUCCGCCUUUGAUCACGAAUUACACCUCAAUGAAAGCCUGGUUAACGGGUCAUGCCGAUAUCCAUUAGAGUGAUGCAAAGCAUAAUGUGGGUGGUACCGCGGUGAAAAUCGUCCCUGAU